GGAGAGGUGGCCGAGUGGUUGAAGGCGCGCGCUUGGAAAGCGUGUGUACGCUGAAAGGUGUACCGCGGGUUCGAAUCCCGCCCUCUCCGCCA
This 92-nucleotide transfer RNA is filed under the name Candidatus Hydrogenedentota bacterium. RNAcentral's name for it is "tRNA-Ser". It matches the Rfam family "tRNA". From Rfam's summary of the family: Transfer RNA (tRNA) molecules are approximately 80 nucleotides in length. Their secondary structure includes four short double-helical elements and three loops (D, anti-codon, and T loops). The record is from RNAcentral. Lineage: Bacteria; Pseudomonadati; Candidatus Hydrogenedentota.